GAACGAUUUCGGCGCCUUAACGUUCCAUUAACCGUUCUAGGAAAAAUUCUAAAAAGCGUGUUAGAGGCGGCAUAACCGAGGAAGUGAAGCAAGCAGCCGUAGCUGUUGGCUGGAGAUAAUAAACAAGCAACAAUAUGGCACACAAACACAGACCCGAGACAUCCUCCAGAAGAGGUACUGUUGCUUUAUUCAUCAUGUAUUUUAGGUGCAAACAUACAGCACCAUUCAGUUCAGAGACUGCCAUGAUAAACAGACUCGGUUUCUUGUUAAUUUCCAAAUUACUGAUAAUUGACAUACAAUGUAACUUAGAUGACACGACGAAAGCUGAUGAAAGCAUGAUAGUUGUAUUUAACCACAAGUCUAAAAACUCCAGUGCUAGAGCUUUUAUUUCUACUCUUGAUUUUCAGUCAUGCUUUUAUCGAGUCAAACGCUGUUAACGCUCAAGCAAAAGAAUCAAAUAUUCUCAACCGAGCAAACACAUGAGAAGCGGAGAACACAGACAAACAGCAA
Puntigrus tetrazona (Sumatra barb) is the source of this 510-nucleotide long non-coding RNA. RefSeq lists it as uncharacterized. The transcript has 2 exons. The record is from RefSeq and is a predicted model, not a curated record. NCBI's taxonomy places the organism in Eukaryota, Metazoa, Chordata, Actinopteri, Cypriniformes, Cyprinidae.